Molecule: transfer RNA, 89 nt
Filed under: Thermoleophilia bacterium
Lineage: Bacteria; Bacillati; Actinomycetota; Thermoleophilia
Description: tRNA-Ser
Rfam family: tRNA
About the family: Transfer RNA (tRNA) molecules are approximately 80 nucleotides in length.
Source: RNAcentral
GGAGGGGUGGCAGAGCGGUUGAAUGCACUGGUCUUGAAAACCAGCAGGCGUCAAAAGGCGUCUCGAGGGUUCGAAUCCCUCCCCCUCCG